UACGGGGGGGGCAAGCGUUGUUCGGAAUUACUGGGCGUAAAGGGCUCGUAGGCGGCCAACUAAGUCAGACGUGAAAUCCCUCGGCUUAACCGGGGAACUGCAUCUGAUACUGGAUGGCUUGAGUUCGGGAGAGGGAUGCGGAAUUCCAGGUGUAGCGGUGAAAUGCGUAGAUAUCUGGAGGAACACCGGUGGCGAAGGCGGCAUCCUGGACCGACACAGACGCUGAGGAGCGAAAGCCAGGGGAGCAAACGGG
This 253-nucleotide ribosomal RNA is filed under the name uncultured bacterium. RNAcentral describes it as "partial 16S ribosomal RNA". It matches the Rfam family "Bacterial small subunit ribosomal RNA", at positions 524 to 776 of the family's 1533-position model. The record is from RNAcentral.